CCCGGCGAGGGGAGUGAAAAAGAACCUGAAACCGUGUACGUACAAGCAGUAGGAGCCUCUUUAUGGGGUGACUGCGUACCUUUUGUAUAAUGGGUCAGCGACUUAUAUUCUGUAGCGAGGUUAACCGCAUAGGGGAGCCGUAGGGAAACCGAGUCUUAACUGGGCGAAUGAGUUGCAGGGUAUAGACCCGAAACCCGGUGAUCUAUCCAUGGGCAGGUUGAAGGUUGGGUAACACUAACUGGAGGACCGAACCGA
RNAcentral lists this ribosomal RNA (255 nucleotides) under Proteus mirabilis. Its description in RNAcentral is "partial 23S ribosomal RNA". It matches the Rfam family "Bacterial large subunit ribosomal RNA", at positions 525 to 782 of the family's 2925-position model. The record is from RNAcentral. Lineage: Bacteria; Pseudomonadati; Pseudomonadota; Gammaproteobacteria; Enterobacterales; Morganellaceae.